RNAcentral lists this ribosomal RNA (402 nucleotides) under uncultured bacterium. RNAcentral's name for it is "bacterial SSU rRNA". It matches the Rfam family "Bacterial small subunit ribosomal RNA", at positions 355 to 774 of the family's 1533-position model. The record is from RNAcentral.
UGGGGAAUAUUGGACAAUGGGCGAAAGCCUGAUCCAGCAAUGCCGCGUGGGUGAAGAAGGUUUUCGGAUUGUAAAGCCCUUUCGGCGGGGACGAUGAUGACGGUACCCGCAGAAGAAGCUCCGGCUAACUUCGUGCCAGCAGCCGCGGUAAUACGAAGGGGGCUAGCGUUACUCGGAAUGACUGGGCGUAAAGGGCGCGUAGGCGGUUCGGACAGUCAGAUGUGAAAUUCCUGGGCUCAACCUGGGGACUGCAUUUGAUACGUCCGGGCUUGAGUGUGGAAGAGGGUUGUGGAAUUCCCAGUGUAGAGGUGAAAUUCGUAGAUAUUGGGAAGAACACCGGUGGCGAAGGCGGCAACCUGGUCCAUUACUGACGCUGAGGCGCGAAAGCGUGGGGAGCAAACA